CACAUGGCUUUUGGGGAGGGAGACCGACUGUCUCCUCUCCCAAUACAUUGUCCUGCGGGGAAGGAAGACUGACCGCCUCCCAUUCCAAUAUCAUAUUCAGCCGCUGGGGAGUGAGACCGGUUGUCUCCCCUCCCUGUAAAGCACUCUGCUGCUGGGGAGAGGGACCGCCUGUCCCUUCUCCCAAAAACACACUUGGCUGCUGGAGAUGGAGGACGACACUCUCCUCUCCAUGGGUUGCACGUGCACGCUGUGGAGAGGGACCGACUGUCCCCACUCCUAACAUAUCCAUCUGUGGUUGGCAAUCUGGGCUAGCUGCCCAGCAUCCUUGUAGGGCCGGUGGAGAGACCUCGGUCCCCGCUCCACCUGCCAGCUGGGGUUCUUCCCAGGACCAGUCGAUAAGGUCUCUCAUCUCUGGGGCUGGUUGGGAAGUAGGUGGUACAGAACCUAGGUAUCCGGAUGACGGGCUUAGUUGCUGGGGAGGAGGGACGAAACCCAGCGCUCCCGAUGGUGUACAGUCCAUAAGCCCCAUCAUGUCAGAGGCAAGCGGUGUCACUUGAUCAUAUAGGCA
Non-coding RNA from Pelobates cultripes (western spadefoot toad), 568 nucleotides. The record is from the annotation of a GenBank genome assembly. NCBI's taxonomy places the organism in Eukaryota, Metazoa, Chordata, Amphibia, Anura, Pelobatidae.